GACGAACGCUGGCGGCGUGCUUAACACAUGCAAGUCGAACGGAAAGGCCCUGCUUUUGUGGGGUGCUCGAGUGGCGAACGGGUGAGUAACACGUGGGUAACCUGCCCUUGACUUUGGGAUAACUUCAGGAAACUGGGGCUAAUACCGGAUAGGAGCUCCUGCUGCAUGGUGGGGGUUGGAAAGUUUCGGCGGUUGGGGAUGGACUCGCGGCUUAUCAGCUUGUUGGUGGGGUAGUGGCUUACCAAGGCUUUGACGGGUAGCCGGCCUGAGAGGGUGACCGGCCACAUUGGGACCGAGAUACGGCCCAGACUCCUACGGGAGGCAGCAGUGGGGAAUAUUGCACAAUGGGCGGAAGCCUGAUGCAGCAACGCCGCGUGCGGGAUGACGGCCUUCGGGUUGUAAACCGCUUUCGCCUGUGACGAAGCGUGAGUGACGGUAAUGGGUAAAGAAGCACCGGCUAACUACGUG
RNAcentral lists this ribosomal RNA (468 nucleotides) under uncultured bacterium. Its description in RNAcentral is "partial 16S ribosomal RNA". It matches the Rfam family "Bacterial small subunit ribosomal RNA", at positions 28 to 507 of the family's 1533-position model. The record is from RNAcentral.